GAUGAAGAACGUAGCGAAAUGCGAUACUUGGUGUGAACUGCAGAAUCCCGUGAACCAUCGAGUCUUUGAACGCGAGUUGCGCCUCAAGCCAUUAGGUUGAGGGCACGUCUGCCUGGGCGUCACAUAUCGUUGCCUGAUGCCAGUUUCCUCGUGAUGGGUGACUGUGCAGGGCGAAUGAUGGCUUCCCGUGAGCAUUGUUGCCUCAUGGUUGGUUGAAAAUUGAGUCCUUGGUAGGGAGCGCCGUGAUAGAUGGUGGUUGAGUGACGAACGAGACCCAAUCAUGUGAGACCCCUACCGAAUUUGGCCUUCAUGACCCACAUGCGUCUUUGGAACGCUCAUGACGAGACCUCAGGUCAGGCGGGGCUACCCGCUGAGUUUAAGCAUAUCAAUAAGCGGAGGA
RNAcentral lists this unclassified non-coding RNA (400 nucleotides) under soil metagenome. Its description in RNAcentral is "partial contains 5.8S ribosomal RNA, internal transcribed spacer 2, and large subunit ribosomal RNA". The stretch from base 1 to 122 matches the Rfam family "5.8S ribosomal RNA", at positions 35 to 154 of the family's 154-position model. The record is from RNAcentral.